Molecule: long non-coding RNA, 475 nt
Organism: Parasteatoda tepidariorum (common house spider)
Lineage: Eukaryota; Metazoa; Arthropoda; Arachnida; Araneae; Theridiidae
Source: RefSeq, a predicted model, not a curated record
AAAAUUACUUGUCAUUCAGAAGAUAUUAAACACUGCGUUCGAAAAGAUGAUAUCCAGUCAAAAGCUAUUAAUCUUAAGUCUCUUUGCUCUUAUUUCGACAUCUGGAGUUUUCAGCCAUCAUCACCAUCAGCAGCAAGGAGGAGGAUUAGGGGAAAUUCUUGUAGCUGGUUUAAUUGCAAAAAUGUUGUCUGAGCAUCAUCACAAAGGACAUCACCAUUCACACCCAAUCUUUAUCCCGAUGCCUGUGCAUGGUCAUCAUAAAUGAUAAUGGAGCUUCUUCAAUUCAUGAGCUAUUCAUGAACCAAUUCAUGUUACAAAUAAGUGUUGUUUUUAUAUGUGUGUGCAUAGAUCAUUUGGAUGCUAUUAUGUACAGAGCUUUGUAUAAAUAGUUGCAAAAUAAUAUGUAUAAUAAUGUUAUAAAGUCAGAAAUAUUAUAUAAUGUCAGUAAUUCAAUAAAGAUGUAUUUGGCAUAUUA